Molecule: ribosomal RNA, 402 nt
Filed under: uncultured Sphingomonas sp.
Lineage: Bacteria; Pseudomonadati; Pseudomonadota; Alphaproteobacteria; Sphingomonadales; Sphingomonadaceae
Description: bacterial SSU rRNA
Rfam family: Bacterial small subunit ribosomal RNA
Source: RNAcentral
UGGGGAAUAUUGGACAAUGGGCGAAAGCCUGAUCCAGCAAUGCCGCGUGAGUGAUGAAGGCCUUAGGGUUGUAAAGCUCUUUUACCCGGGAUGAUAAUGACAGUACCGGGAGAAUAAGCCCCGGCUAACUCCGUGCCAGCAGCCGCGGUAAUACGGAGGGGGCUAGCGUUGUUCGGAAUUACUGGGCGUAAAGCGCGCGUAGGCGGCUUCGCAAGUCAGAGGUGAAAGCCCGGAGCUCAACUCCGGAAUAGCCUUUGAGACUGCGUCGCUAGAAUCCGGGAGAGGUGAGUGGAAUUCCGAGUGUAGAGGUGAAAUUCGUAGAUAUUCGGAAGAACACCAGUGGCGAAGGCGACUUACUGGACACAUAUUGACGCUGAGGUGCGAAAGCGUGGGGAGCAAACA